This 915-nucleotide ribosomal RNA is filed under the name uncultured Alkalibacterium sp. Its description in RNAcentral is "bacterial SSU rRNA". It matches the Rfam family "Bacterial small subunit ribosomal RNA", at positions 28 to 923 of the family's 1533-position model. Lineage: Bacteria; Bacillati; Bacillota; Bacilli; Lactobacillales; Carnobacteriaceae. The record is from RNAcentral.
GACGAACGCUGGCGGUAUGCCUAAUACAUGCAAGUCGAACGCUGAAGCACUCUGCUUGCAGAGUGUAGAUGAGUGGCGAACGGGUGAGUAACACGUGGGGAACCUGCCCAUAAGAGGGGGAUAACAUCCGGAAACGGGUGCUAAUACCGCAUAGGUGAUCAUAGCGCAUGCUUAGAUCAUUAAAGAUGGCUUCGGCUAUCGCUUAUGGAUGGCCCCGCGGCGUAUUAGCUAGUUGGUGAGGUAAUGGCUCACCAAGGCUGUGAUACGUAGCCGACCUGAGAGGGUGAUCGGCCACACUGGAACUGAGACACGGUCCAGACUCCUACGGGAGGCAGCAGUAGGGAAUCUUCCACAAUGGGCGAAAGCCUGAUGGAGCAAUACCGCGUGAGUGAAGAAGGUCUUCGGAUCGUAAAGCUCUGUUGUUAGAGAAGAACAAGAGGUGUAGUAACUGGCACCUCCUUGACGGUAUCUAACCAGAAAGUCACGGCUAACUACGUGCCAGCAGCCGCGGUAAUACGUAGGUGACAAGCGUUGUCCGGAUUUAUUGGGCGUAAAGCGAGCGCAGGCGGUCUUUUAAGUCUGAUGUGAAAGCCCACGGCUCAACCGUGGAGGGUCAUUGGAAACUGGAAGACUUGAAUGCAGAAGAGGAAAGUGGAAUUCCAUGUGUAGCGGUGAAAUGCGUAGAUAUAUGGAGGAACACCAGUGGCGAAGGCGACUUUCUGGUCUGUAAUUGACGCUGAGGCUCGAAAGCGUGGGGAGCGAACAGGAUUAGAUACCCUGGUAGUCCACGCCGUAAACGAUGAGUGCUAAGUGUUGGAGGGUUUCCGCCCUUCAGUGCUGGAGCUAACGCAUUAAGCACUCCGCCUGGGGAGUACGGCCGCAAGGCUGAAACUCAAAGGAAUUGACGGGGACCCG